Molecule: ribosomal RNA, 254 nt
Filed under: uncultured bacterium
Lineage: Bacteria
Description: partial 16S ribosomal RNA
Rfam family: Bacterial small subunit ribosomal RNA
Source: RNAcentral
UACGGGGGGAGCAAGCGUUGUUCGGAUUUACUGGGCGUAAAGGGCGCGUAGGCGGCCAGCACAAGUCGGUUGUGAAAUCUCCGGGCUUAACUCGGAGCGGCCAAGUGAUACUGUUGUGCUAGAGUGCGGAAGGGGCUACUGGAAUUCUCGGUGUAGCGGUGAAAUGCGUAGAUAUCGAGAGGAACACCUGCGGCGAAGGCGGGUAGCUGGGCCGACACUGACGCUGAGGCGCGAAAGCCAGGGGAGCGAACGGG